This 514-nucleotide ribosomal RNA is filed under the name uncultured bacterium. RNAcentral's name for it is "partial 16S ribosomal RNA". It matches the Rfam family "Bacterial small subunit ribosomal RNA", at positions 28 to 523 of the family's 1533-position model. The record is from RNAcentral.
GAUGAACGCUGGCGGCGUGCCUAAUACAUGCAAGUCGAGCGAACAGAUGAGAAGCUUGCUUCUCUGAUGUUAGCGGCGGACGGGUGAGUAACACGUGGGUAACCUACCUAUAAGACUGGGAUAACUCCGGGAAACCGGGGCUAAUACCGGAUAGUAUUUUGAACCGCAUGGUUCAAUAGUGAAAGACGGUUUCAGCUGUCACUUAUAGAUGGACCCGCGCCGUAUUAGCUAGUUGGUAAGGUAACGGCUUACCAAGGCGACGAUACGUAGCCGACCUGAGAGGGUGAUCGGCCACACGGGAACUGAGACACGGUCCAGACUCCUACGGGAGUCAGCAGUAGGGAAUCUUCCGCAAUGGGCGAAAGCCUGACGGAGCAACGCCGCGUGAGUGAUGAAGGUCUUCGGAUCGUAAAACUCUGUUGUUAGGGAAGAACAAAUUUGUUAGUAACUGAACAAGUCUUGACGGUACCUAACCAGAAAGCCACGGCUAACUACGUGCCAGCCGCCGCCGUAA